Molecule: transfer RNA, 61 nt
Filed under: Oceanicaulis sp.
Lineage: Bacteria; Pseudomonadati; Pseudomonadota; Alphaproteobacteria; Maricaulales; Maricaulaceae
Description: tRNA-OTHER
Rfam family: tRNA
About the family: Transfer RNA (tRNA) molecules are approximately 80 nucleotides in length. Their secondary structure includes four short double-helical elements and three loops (D, anti-codon, and T loops).
Source: RNAcentral
CGGACUUAAAAUCCGUUGGGCGGUAACGCCCGUGCCGGUUCAAGUCCGGCCGCCCGCACCA